RNAcentral lists this long non-coding RNA (4053 nucleotides) under Homo sapiens (human). Its description in RNAcentral is "HSALNT0086284". The record is from RNAcentral. Lineage: Eukaryota; Metazoa; Chordata; Mammalia; Primates; Hominidae.
CGGGAGGCUGAGACACAAGGAUUGCUUGAACCCAGAAGGUGGAGGUUGCAGUGAGCUGAGAUCACGCCACUUUACUCCAACCUGGGCAACAGAGCAAGACUCCAUCCGCCCCCCCUGACCCAACAAAAAAAAAAAUAGAAUGACAAGUUCAAAUCCUUGUCUUUCUCACUCAGAUGUAAACUAAAACCAAGGGAUUCUUAAUUCUUCUGGCUUCUUAAUUCUGAAGUAGCCAGAAGGAAAGCAAAGUUUGGGCCUGCUGGUUUCUGAGUUGCAACUGGAGUUGAAAAUAAUGCCUUUUAAAGUCUCCUAUAUGAAAGAUAGGAAUUGAUUGGUAAAUAGUGGCAAUCUGAGAAUAGGAAUAGGGGCAUAUGAGAGGAUUUGUAGCACUUGGAGCCCCUCAAACUCUCCAUGCCAACUGAGCCUUUCUUGAUUCCAGGCCACUUCUUUCUACAUUUAGGGUCAGAUCCUGGAUUUCCCAAAAGCUGCCAUUAAAAAGUCAAAUUUUGAAGAGGCUGACUUAAACACAAAAGAAUUAUAUACUUAACUAAUUUACAUUAGCAAAAAUCUGGGGAAUGUACAUGAGAAUACAUUCUAAGGAUUUUCAAUCAAACAAGAAAAACAUUUAGAUUUUGUUUUUAAGUGGGAUUAAAUUUAAUGGUAUGGGUACUGUGGUGGUCAAUUUUAUAGAUCAACAUGGCUGGGCCAUAGUUCCCAGUUAUUCAAUCAAAACUAAUCCAAGUGCUGCUGUAAAAGCUUUUUGUGAUGUAAUGAAAAUCCAUAAUCAGUUGACUAAGUAAAGGAGAUUAUUUUAGAUAAUGUAGAUAAUCCUAGAUGAUCUGAGUGGGCUUGAUUAAGUCAGUUGAAAGGCCUUAAAAGCAGAACUGAGGCUUUCCUAAGGAAGAAGAAAUCCCACCUGUGUAAAGUAAUUAAACCUCUUACCCAGAAAUUCCAGCCUGCCAUUCUUGAUGACCAGCCCUAUGGAUUUUGGACUUGCCUUGUCAGCCUCCACAAUCAUAUAAGCUAACUCCAUGCAAUACGUCUCUUAUAUCUUUUAUUUCUUUGGUUGAACCCUGACUGAUACAGAUAACCUAGCCCAAGAGUCUGGAUUCAAUGUGCCAGCUCAAGCAGUUCUUAAUGAUUCUAACAGUUGCUCCACUAUUAAACUAUGGUGACCAGCGUUAAACAAAGUUUUGAGGUGACAAAAAUCCACUGGUGUAAUGCAGAAAAAUACAUUCUAAGUGGAACAUCAUGUCCCUAGCCUUCAGAUCACACCUAUGGUAAGGCCCAUUAUAACGGGCUGCUGAAGCUGUGCAGAGCUGGAAAUGGGAAGCUGCUGUGCUAUUGCCUGUCUGGAGGUGGCCCUGAAACACUACAGCAAGGGGCACUAUUCACAAUGAACAGAACUUUAGACCACACACCUGUUUGCCCACUUUAUGUGGAAAGAGAAGUGGCUCAAGGUAAGAACGUACACUGUUAUCCAUCUCUAGUGAAUAGGAACUGUUUCUGAUCCUCCUUCGUGACAAGAAUGGCUACAAUCCAUGUACUUACAGCCUUGUUCAUUUGCUAGUGAAGAUACCCACAUCUGACACAGCAGCUGCAUUGGGAGAUACUACCUCGUUGAGUUUUGUGGGGAUGAAGGAAUCCAAGAUGUUAGAGAUGAUGGAGUCCAAGAAGCAGUAUUCAAUCAGAGAAUCAAGGUCAUCAUGCUACAGAUGGUCUUACAAAUGGAACCCCAAAUGAGCUCAACUAACAACUUCUACCGAGGACAGCUGGACCAACUUGCUGGCCCUUCUGCUGGCCUAAAGAGUUCACCUCUGGAGGACCCUACAACUGCAGGGCCUCUUCUUUGCCCCUAUCCAGCAGGAAGUAGCUAGAGUGGUCAUUGGCCAAAUUCCCAACAGCAGUUGGGGUGUCCUGUUUAGAGGGGGGAUUGAGAGGUGACAACGUGCUAGCAGCCCUCACUCACUCUCAGCAUCUCCUCAGCCUUGACGUCCUCUCUGGCUGCGCUCGAGGAGCCCUUCAGCCCACCGCUGCACUAUGGGGGCCCCUCUCUGGGGCUGGCCAAGGCCGGAGCUUGCUCCCUCUUCCUGCAGGGAGGUGUGGAGGGAGAGGUGCGGGUGGGAGCCGGGGCGGCACGUGGCACUUGUAGGCUGGUGCAGGUUCCAAAUGGGCAUGGGCCCAGCAGGCCCAGCACUUGGCACUACCAGCUGGCACCUGCUGUGAUUGAUUGGAGGCUGGGUCCUGUGCAUGGACCGCCAUUCCCUCUUCACGGGGUCAUUGGCCAUGGUGGCAGGUCUCCUUCUCUUUCUCACAUCUCUUCUUCUCCUUUUGGUUGUCUGGGACGAGCUAGGUGCCGCAAAGUCCCAUGGUGAGUGCUAGUGAGAGGUGAGGCCAGCUGGGCUUCUGGGAUGGGUGGGGACUUGGAGAACUUUCUGUGUAGCUAAAGCAUUAUAAAUGCACCAAUGAGCACUCUGUGUCUAGCUAAAGGUUUGUAAACACACCAAUCAGCGCUCUGUGUCUAGCUAAUCGGGUGGGGACUUCAAGAACUUUUGUGUCUAGCUAAAGGAUUGUAAAUGCACCAAUCAGCACUCUGUCAAAAUGGACCAAUCAGCUCUCUGUAAAAUGGACCAAUCAGCAGGAUGUGGGUGGGACCAGAUAAGGGAAUAAAAGCAGGCCACCUGAGCCAGCAGCAGCAACCCGCUGGGGUUCCCUUCCACACUGUGGAAGCUUUGUUCUUUCACUCUUCACAAUAAAUCUUGCUGCUGCUCACUCUUUGGGCCCAUGCUGCCUUUAUGAGCUGUAACACUCACCGGGAAGGUCUGCAGCUUCACUCCUGAAGUCAGCAAGACCAUGAACUCACCAGAAGGAAGAAACUCUGGACACAUCUGAACAUCUGAAGGAAUAAACUCCAGACACACCAUCUUUAAGAACUGUAACACUCACUGCAAGGGUCUACGGCUUCAUUCUUGAAGUCAGAGAGACCAAGAACCCACCAAUUCUGGACACAGGACCACUAAAAUAUCGCAUGAUUGCUAAAAAUAUAGAUAGCCUAAUCAAGUCAAGAAUACUUGUGUUGGCUUCCUGACACAAGGAGUGAGGACCAUUUUUGUCCUAUUUUACUCCUUAUUUUAGUAGACAGGACCAACAGGAACCUGUGUGGUUUCUACUCCCUUCCAAAACAAUAAACCAAAAGCAAUUCUCCAUUUCUAAGAAAUUACAUAGUUCAGAGCCUGUUGGGAGAAAAGCUGAGUGUUGGGAGAGAAGCUGAGGCAGGGCUUGCAUGUCUGCUAGACUUGCUGACUCCUUGCUUCUAGCACUCCCAUUAUCUCAAGUAGCCAUAUGUUUCUCAUUCACUUGAUACACCAUUUCCUUUCAACCCCCACAUCCUCACCACCUGUUUCUUUGAACACUAAUAAAUAGCGUGGACUCCCAGAGCUUGGGGCCUUCACAGCCUCCACACUCACAAUGGCCCCCUGGUCCCACUUUCUCUCUCAAACUCGUUUUCUCAUUCCUUUGACUCCACCAGACUUUGUCACCCCUAUGUCCUGGUGUUGGGUCUGAUCACCCCAACAGGAGACAUCAUGAAAUAUUUUAUUUAUACAGGGAAGGAGGAUGAUUUCUAUUACGUGUCCACCUAUAUGUCCAAUUGGCUAGAAUGAAAAAGAUCUGUAUUAGGAAAAUGAUAAUGAAUAUUUGAUUUUAAUCAGGUGGAGACAGCAUUUGUAGUGUCUAAACAGAUCUGGGCAAACCAAAUCGUCCCUGAAACCUGUUAGGCAACUAUUGAUCUAUUGUCCUCUUCAUUGUUAGCGACUUUAACUGAGCACAUUGCUUGAUGUGGGCCAAUGUGAAUAAUGAUGAGAUUUGAACAGCAAUGUUGUGUGUAGCUUCCAGAAAGGUUUAUUAAAGAAAUCAAAGUUAGCUAUUUUCCUCUUUCCUCCUUUCUGCCAGUUAGAAGGUAAACAUGAUGAUUGGAGUGCUAGAAGCUAUAUUGAACCAAAAGACAAGGACCACACCCUAAAUAUGAUGAGGCAAUAUCAGCCCUGGAUAGCCUAG